GAUGAACGCUGGCGGCGUGCCUAACACAUGCAAGUCGAACGAAGCAAUUGAAGGAAGUUUUCGGAUGGAAUUCGAUUGACUGAGUGGCGGACGGGUGAGUAACGCGUGGAUAACCUGCCUCACACUGGGGGAUAACAGUUAGAAAUGACUGCUAAUACCGCAUAAGCGCACAGUACCGCAUGGUACAGUGUGAAAAACUCCGGUGGUGUGAGAUGGAUCCGCGUCUGAUUAGCCAGUUGGCGGGUAACGCCACCAAAGCGACGAUCAGUAGCCGACCUGAGAGGGUGACCGGCCACAUUGGGACUGAGACACGGCCCAAACUCCUACGGGAGGCAGCAGUGGGGAAUAUUGCACAAUGGGGCGAAAGCCUGAUGCAGCGACGCCGCGUGAGUGAAGAAGUAUUU
RNAcentral lists this ribosomal RNA (404 nucleotides) under uncultured bacterium. RNAcentral's name for it is "bacterial SSU rRNA". It matches the Rfam family "Bacterial small subunit ribosomal RNA", at positions 28 to 418 of the family's 1533-position model. The record is from RNAcentral.